This 561-nucleotide long non-coding RNA is filed under the name Homo sapiens (human). Its description in RNAcentral is "non-protein coding lnc-NUDCD1-2:2". Lineage: Eukaryota; Metazoa; Chordata; Mammalia; Primates; Hominidae. The record is from RNAcentral.
GUAUUUUAUUUUUCUUUUGCUUGAAAUAGGGUGAGCCCGUUGUUGUGGAGUGAGAGCCUCACAUACGGGAGAACAGUGCAUUUCUUGAUGCACUUGGGUCACUGUUGACAGUGUCUGCAGGAAGACUGGCCUCUUUAUGAAACCAGCCUUACUGUGCAUCUUAGCUGUGUUUAUGAAAUGAUGUUCUUGUACUGGGCCUUCUCUUGACUGCUUUGAGGAAAAUGCUGUGAGCCUGGAAGCCCUGGAAUCUUGGCACUUGCCAAUAGUGUGCAAACGCAGGGAGCAGGGACCUGGAAGGCAGGGAACUGGCCAAUGUGUUCUCUAGUUUCCUUUCCCUCACGCUUCUCUCUCCCCUGUUGUUUUUCAGGUAGUGAAGCUGAUUUUAGCUCCUCGAGCAGCACAGGCAGCAUUUCCGCUCCUGAGGUCCAUAUGUCGACUGCGGGAAGCAAGCGGUCUUCUUCUUCACGCAAUCGAGGUCCUCAUGGGCGGAGUAAUGGAGCUUCGUCACACAAGCCUGGCAGCAGCCCAUCAUCCCCGCGGGAAAAGGACCUUCUGUCCAUG